CGCACAUUGCGCCCCCUGGUAUUCCGGAGGGCAUGCCUGUCCGAGCGUCAUUAUCCACUUCAAGCCCGGCUUGGUGGUGGGGUCCACCGUCCCGACGGUCACCCCGAAAGACAAGAACGGGCUCCGCGCACCGUGGCUACAGCGAGCUUUUUAAGCACGUAUCCUGGUGCCGUGGGGCGCGCCUCAACCCCAUCGCAAGGUUGACCUCGGAUCAGACAGGGUUACCCGCUGAACUUAA
RNAcentral lists this unclassified non-coding RNA (238 nucleotides) under Dermatocarpon arenosaxi. RNAcentral describes it as "partial contains 5.8S ribosomal RNA, internal transcribed spacer 2, and large subunit ribosomal RNA". Lineage: Eukaryota; Fungi; Ascomycota; Eurotiomycetes; Verrucariales; Verrucariaceae. The record is from RNAcentral.